GAGAAACUGCGAAAGGCUCAUUAAAUCACACCUAAUGUACUCGAUAGUUACUCCCUACUUGGAUAACUGCGGUAAUUCUGGAGCUAAUACAUGCGUACCAGCCCCGACUCACGGAGGGGUGCUUUUAUUAGACUAAAACCAAACGGCUCGCUUCGGCGUGCCGUUCCCAUGGUGACUCUGGAUAACUUUGAGCGGAUCGCACGGCUUCACGCCGGCGACGUGUCGUUCCAAGGUGUGACCUAUCAACUGUCGACUGUGGCAUAGACGCCCACAGUGGUUGUGACGGGUAACGGGGAAUUAGGGUUCGAUUCCGGAGAGGGAGCCUGAGAAACGGCUACCACUUCUAAGGAAGGCAGCAGGCACGCAAAUUACCCACUGGUCAAAGACCGAGGUAGUGACGAAAAAUAACGAUACCAGACUCAUCCGAGGCCUGGUAAUCGGAAUGAGCACACUUUAAAUCCUUUAGCGAGGAACCAUUGGAGGGCAAGUCUGGUGCCAGCAGCCGCGGUAAUUCCAGCUCCAAUAGUUUAUAUUAAAGUUGUUGCGGUUAAAAAGCUCGUAGUUGGCUCUUGGCGGGCAGGGGGCGGUGCACCGUCUCGGUGCCCACUGCCCCGUUUGCCCGUUGAUCUCUCGUCGGCGGAAUCGCCCGGGGUGCUCUUCGCCGAGUGUCCCGGCUCGCGGCCGCCAGGUUUACUUUGAAAAAAUUAGAGUGCUCCAAGCAGGCUCGACACGCCUGAAUAGUUCGUGCAUGGAAUAAUGGAAUAGGAUGUCGUUCCUAUUUUGUUGGUCUUAGGGAUUCGACAUAAUGACUAAUAGGGACAGCCGGGGGCAUUAGUAUUCAGACGACAGAGGUGAAAUUCUUGGACCGUCUGAAGACUAACUACUGCGAGA
This 891-nucleotide ribosomal RNA is filed under the name Tropocyclops setulifer. RNAcentral's name for it is "bacterial SSU rRNA". It matches the Rfam family "Eukaryotic small subunit ribosomal RNA", at positions 81 to 950 of the family's 1831-position model. The record is from RNAcentral. Lineage: Eukaryota; Metazoa; Arthropoda; Copepoda; Cyclopoida; Cyclopidae.